Molecule: non-coding RNA, 94 nt
Filed under: bovine gut metagenome
Also listed under: 1 other name
Description: SAM riboswitch (S box leader)
Rfam family: SAM riboswitch aptamer (S box leader)
About the family: The SAM riboswitch is found upstream of a number of genes which code for proteins involved in methionine or cysteine biosynthesis in Gram-positive bacteria. The SAM riboswitch acts at the level of transcription termination control.
Source: RNAcentral
CUUAUCAAGAGCGGUGGAGGGAACGGCCCUGUGAAGCCCGGCAACCUGUGCGAGAGCAUAAGGUGCCAAAUCCGGCGGUGAAACGAAAGAUGAG